AACGAACGCUGGCGGCAGGCCUAACACAUGCAAGUCGAGCGCGCCCUCCGGGGUGAGCGUCGGACGGGUGAGUAACGCGGGGGAACGUGCCCUUCUCUGCGGAAUAGCCUCGGGAAACGGAGAGUAAUACCGCAUACGCUCUUUGGGGGAAAGAUUUAUCGGAGAAGGAUCGGCCCGCGUGGGAUUAGGUAGUUGGUGGGGUAAUGGCCCACCAAGCCGACGAUCCAUAGCUGGUUUGAGAGGAUGAUCAGCCACACUGGGACUGAGACACGGCCCAGACUCCUACGGGAGGCAGCAGUGGGGAAUCUUAGAAAAUGGGGGCAACCCUGAUCUAGCCAUGCCGCGUGAGUGAUGAAGGCCUUAGGGUUGUAAAGCUCUUUCAGCUGGGAAGAUAAUGACGGUACCAGCAGAAGAAGCCCCGGCUAACUACGUG
RNAcentral lists this ribosomal RNA (433 nucleotides) under uncultured bacterium. Its description in RNAcentral is "partial 16S ribosomal RNA". It matches the Rfam family "Bacterial small subunit ribosomal RNA", at positions 29 to 507 of the family's 1533-position model. The record is from RNAcentral.